RNAcentral lists this ribosomal RNA (253 nucleotides) under uncultured bacterium. RNAcentral describes it as "partial 16S ribosomal RNA". It matches the Rfam family "Bacterial small subunit ribosomal RNA", at positions 524 to 776 of the family's 1533-position model. The record is from RNAcentral.
UACGUAGGGUGCAAGCGUUAAUCGGAAUUACUGGGCGUAAAGCGUGCGCAGGCGGCUUUGUAAGUCAGAUGUGAAAUCCCCGGGCUUAACCUGGGAACUGCGUUUGAAACUACAAGGCUAGAGUGUGGCAGAGGGGGGUGGAAUUCCACGUGUAGCAGUGAAAUGCGUAGAGAUCCGGAAGAACACCGGUGGCGAAGGCGGUCUGCUGGGGUCGAACUGACGCUGAGGCGCGACAGCGUGGGGAGCAAACAGG